UAUUGGACAAUGGGCGAAAGCCUGAUCCAGCAACGCCGCGUGGGGGACGAAGGCCUUCGGGUUGUAAACCCCUGUCAGGUGGGACGAAGAGCCGGCGGCAAAUAGUCGUCGGCUUUGACGGUACCACCAGAGGAAGCCCCGGCUAACUCCGUGCCAGCAGCCGCGGUAAUACGGAGGGGGCGAGCGUUAUUCGGAAUCAUUGGGCGUAAAGGGCGCGUAGGCGGCCCCAUAAGUCUUGGGUGAAAGCCCUCGGCUCAACCGAGGAAUUGCCUUGGAUACUGUGGGGCUCGAGGCUGGAAGAGGGCAGUGGAAUUCCCGGUGUAGCGGUGAAACGCGUAGAUAUCGGGAGGAACACCAGUGGCGAAGGCGGCUGCCUGGGCCAGUUCUGACGCUGAGGCGCGAAAGCGUGGGGAGCAAACAGG
Molecule: ribosomal RNA, 422 nt
Filed under: uncultured bacterium
Lineage: Bacteria
Description: bacterial SSU rRNA
Rfam family: Bacterial small subunit ribosomal RNA
Source: RNAcentral